CCUACGGGCGGCAGCAGUGGGGAAUAUUGGACAAUGGGGGCAACCCUGAUCCAGCCAUGCCGCGUGUGUGAAGAAGGCCCUCGGGUUGUAAAGCACUUUCAGUGAGGAAGAACGCCUGGUGGUUAAUACCCAUCAGGAAAGACAUCACUCACAGAAGAAGCACCGGCUAACUCCGUGCCAGCAGCCGCGGUAAUACGGAGGGUGCGAGCGUUAAUCGGAAUUACUGGGCGUAAAGCGCGCGUAGGUGGCUUGAUAAGCCGGUUGUGAAAGCCCCGGGCUCAACCUGGGAACGGCAUCCGGAACUGUCAAGCUAGAGUGCAGGAGAGGAAGGUAGAAUUCCCGGUGGAGCGGUGAAAUGCGUAGAGAUCGGGAGGAAGACCAGUGGCGAAGGCGGCCUUCUGGACUGACACUGACACUGAGGUGCGAAAGCGUGGGUAGCAAACAGGAUUAGAUACCCUUGUAGUC
RNAcentral lists this ribosomal RNA (465 nucleotides) under Vreelandella stevensii. RNAcentral's name for it is "partial 16S ribosomal RNA". It matches the Rfam family "Bacterial small subunit ribosomal RNA", at positions 338 to 795 of the family's 1533-position model. Lineage: Bacteria; Pseudomonadati; Pseudomonadota; Gammaproteobacteria; Oceanospirillales; Halomonadaceae. The record is from RNAcentral.